RNAcentral lists this ribosomal RNA (497 nucleotides) under uncultured bacterium. RNAcentral describes it as "partial 16S ribosomal RNA". It matches the Rfam family "Bacterial small subunit ribosomal RNA", at positions 28 to 507 of the family's 1533-position model. The record is from RNAcentral.
GAUGAACGCUGGCGGCGUGCCUAAUACAUGCAAGUAGAACGCUGAAGCUUGGUGCUUGCACCGAGCGGAUGAGUUGCGAACGGGUGAGUAACGCGUAGGUAACCUGCCUCUUAGCGGGGGAUAACUAUUGGAAACGAUAGCUAAUACCGCAUAAAAGUCGAUAUCGCAUGAUAUUGAUUUGAAAGGUGCAAAUGCAUCACUAAGAGAUGGACCUGCGUUGUAUUAGCUAGUUGGUGAGGUAACGGCUCACCAAGGCGACGAUACAUAGCCGACCUGAGAGGGUGAUCGGCCACACUGGGACUGAGGCACGGCCCAGACUCCUACGGGAGGCAGCAGUAGGGAAUCUUCGGCAAUGGGGGCAACCCUGACCGAGCAACGCCGCGUGAGUGAAGAAGGUUUUCGGAUCGUAAAGCUCUGUUGUAAGAGAAGAACGAGUGUGAGAGUGGAAAGUUCACACUGUGACGGUAACUUACCAGAAAGGGACGGCUAACUACGUG